Molecule: unclassified non-coding RNA, 9576 nt
Filed under: Haliotis rubra (blacklip abalone)
Lineage: Eukaryota; Metazoa; Mollusca; Gastropoda; Lepetellida; Haliotidae
Description: putative E3 ubiquitin-protein ligase UNKL, transcript variant X5
Source: RNAcentral
AAUCAUUACUCGUGAUUCACUAUGCGCAACAUGGAUGCGCGUAAAAUCCACUAUUGACAACAACAAAAAUGCCGUCGGAAGCACCGCUUCUACCAACUCAAACGGAAAAACCGCCCCAUUACAUGUAUCUGAAAGAAUUUAGAACUCAACAGUGUACUCUGUUCCUGCAACACAAGUGCACUCAACACCGGCCAUUCACAUGUUUUCAUUGGCACUUUCUGAAUCAACGGAGACGCCGGCCCGUCCGGAGAAGAGACGGGACCUUCAAUUAUAGUCCGGACAUUUACUGCACCAAGUAUGAUGAGACAACAGGCAUUUGUCCCGAUGGAGAUGAUUGCCCCUUCCUACACCGGACCGCCGGGGAUACAGAGAGAAGAUAUCACUUGAGAUAUUAUAAGACAGGGACUUGUGUGUAUGAGACAGAUCCUCGUGGACAUUGUACAAAAAAUGGCCCUCACUGUGCAUUUGCCCAUGGAACAAUGGAUGUUCGGCCACCAGUUUAUGAUAUUCAUGAGCUUCAAACCAUGGAUGUCCUAGAUAAAGUUUCAACAUCACCUAGCAGUCUAGAGAAGGAAAAAAUAUUAGCCGAAGACCCAAAGUGGAAUGAUACAAAUUAUGUUUUAUCAAAUUACAAAACAGAACAGUGUAAACGACCUCCUAGAUUAUGUAGACAAGGCUAUGCAUGUCCACAGUUUCAUAACUCCAGAGAUCGAAGACGAAGUCCCAAAUCUGUGAAAUACAGAUCAACACCAUGUCCUAACGUGAAGCAUGGAGAUGAGUGGGGGGACCCAGCACUGUGCGAGAGUGGAGAUGGGUGUGCGUACUGCCACACUAGAACAGAACAACAGUUUCAUCCUGAGAUUUACAAGUCCACCAAAUGCAAUGACAUGGUCCAAACUGGUUAUUGCCCAAGAGGACCUUUCUGUGCAUUUGCUCACGUUGAAAAUGAGAUGACAACAGAUCGUGAUAUGACUCCAGCCUCUGAAAAUUCUCUAGCUGCGUUCCUAUCCAAUGUGUUACCUGACACGCCUCCAAGCAAUAGCAACAAGAACGGUGACAAAAAUACUGCAGAAGAAAAUAGCUUUAAAAUAGAGACACUUCUUCAUCAGGAGCAGAAUGGUAAAUCUAUGUUCCAAGGAAAAUUACCUAACCCUAUAGGAAAAGAAAGAGCUAAUAGCAUAUCAUCAAAUCAUAGUAACAGUUAUAUAGGGAGUAGGAGAAAUCACAAUAGCAGCCCACUGUCUGAUCCCAUUGGAAAAGGGUGGUCAGGCAGCAUGUCUAGCAGUAUUGGUUCUGACAUGUCAGGACCGAUGUACCACCCCAAGGCACCGGGGUCUGAACGGGAGGACUUACAGACCAAAUUACGCCUGCAGCUCCAAGCAAUAGAGAAUGACUCAUCGCUGGACAUUGGAGAAAGGGAGAAGAGAAAACAGAACCUCAUCCUCAUCCACAACCUCAACACCAACACCACCAACCACGGUGGUAACAUGGGUGGCAGCGGUGUACCACAGAGUGCCUUUCCGAAUGUCAUGUCACAUCUUCAGUCACGUACACUGGCAACAGGCUCCACCAUGUCCCCUCUGGCUCCUGCAUUCUAUCCUCCUGGAGAUACAGUGGAGUCUGUUAUAGGGAAAGCAUUAGACGAUAUCAGCCUUGAUGACUUUGACAUUAACAACUUAGACAAGGAAUUAGACCGCGAUAAUGACACAAAUUCAGUGAGCAGCUCUUUGAGUGCAGGACUAUCGGCGUCAAGCCUGCUAGGCACGACUUCAGGGCCAAUAGGGAUCCCUCCCAGCACGAUCCAGCAGCGGGGCAGUGUGGGAAGCUUGUCUCAGUCUCCACCCUCCCCCUUUGGGAGCUUCCCCCACUCCAUGAUGCCUCUGCAGGUUCAGAAGCAUGACCACGUCACAGAGCAAGGCAGACAACAGUCGUCUUCUCCGUUCCUUAAUUACUCUAACACGGUGAAGUUGUCCAGUGCAUCCUUCAGCGAUGUCAACUCAAUGUCUCCACGUAGCACAGGUCCACAGUCGCCGAUGUUGUCGUCAUCCUCUCUCACGUGUACACAGAACUCGGAAAUACAGCGACUCCGAGAAGAACUGAUCGUCACAAAGGCCAAGUUGGCGGACUGGGAAGGAGUGUACACACAAGCUAAAUGUGCAUGCGAUGCAUGGAAGAAGGAGGCUGAGGAGUCCAUGAAGAAAGCCAAGGGUGCUGAUGAAGACAAAAUACAGGCUGUGAAACAGAGGGAUGAGUCUUUGACUCAGGUUCAGAGGUUGAAGCAAGAGCUGGAGAGUCUGAAUGGGGGACCCUACUUACGAACGUUACACAGAAUAACAGAUCUAGAAAACUUGUCUCUGCCAGCGUUACGACACAUACGACAGACCUUACAUGUGGAUUUAGAACGGGUAGAUGAGAUAAUUUAUCAACAAACAUCAACAAAGUGCUUAGUUUGUCAGACCAACAAAAGGAACGUGUCCAUUCUCCCGUGUAGUCAUCGAGUGUUGUGUGAGGCUUGUGCCACCAAGACCAGGAACUGUCCAUUCUGUCAUGUUCCCAUUCAGACAACUUCCGUCAACUUCUUGUAAUGUCAACCCAAACUAGAUCAUGUACUUAUUUUAUCUCUAUGUUACAUAAGUUAUCAUUGGGUAAAUAGCAUUUUCUUAACUUCCAGGUGUGAAAUAACUUUAUCAAUGCAAAACCAACUUUGGAAGUCUUGACAGAUUUGUGAUUCUUGUGUUUGGGGAAAUCUCAUGGAUUGUAAUUGGAUGAUAGCCCUUCUAAGAGUUAAUACAUUGAACCACCCAGUGGAAUCUUGCAAUGUGUGUGUAACCAACUGUAGUGCUACUGCCUUGAAUUGAAUCAACUGAAAAGGAAUCCUGUCAGAAAAUUGUUGAUUUUACAUACAGUCAAAUAAGGAGUCAUCUGAUCUGUUAAUUAAAUGGUUUUAUUAUGAUACAUGUAGGAGAGAUAUUAAGAAAAGGGCAAAAUAUGUAUUUACAGACUAUUUAUUGUCUAAAUUAACCAUAUGUUUUCUGUUAAAAUUUUAUUGCCCUCCUAACUUGAUUUUAAUAACUGUCAGUAAAUCCAACAUUUGACACCACUUGCCUCCAGUAAACAGCAGGAUUAUUUCUCUUAGAACUGCACAUGGUGUCUUCUAAUACAUAUAUUUCAGAGAGAUAUAAAUAGCUCUUCUUGUUUUCAAGUUAUCAAUGAUACUUCUGAGAUUGAAUUCUAUUUUGUGGUCAUUAAUGUCAAUGGUUGUAAGCAUGAACUAUUACUGUUUUAUUAGGAAUGUUUAAUAAGGAUUUUUUCAUCAGGGAUGUUUUGGACACUGAAAAGUAAGAAAAGUGACUGUCUCAGAAACUUAAUGUCAAUGACCAGUUUUCAAGACGUCUAUUUUGGAAGAGGAAACAUCUGUGAGGCUCAUAUCCUCCGAGCAGUUGAGGGGCAGUGUGAAUGGUGGUUUGGUUUUCUAACUGACUUAUUCCUCAACUCAGGGAACAAAGCAACUGGAGAGUUGUUAUAAUGAAGUGGAUGAAUUUGACACUGAUCACUAGGGGCGACUGUCAACAUCAUGUUGUUAUUGCAUCUGUAUUGUCAUAAUCAACAACAUUAGGGUGACACUAUUGCAGUUUAAAUAUGACUCUUGCAACAGUAUUGCCAUAGUCUGCAACAAAAAUGGGACAAUGUUGCAGUUUAGGUAUGAUUCUUGGAACAGUAUUGCCAUAGUCAGUAAUAAUUAAUGGGACAAUGUUGCAGUUUAAGCAUGAUUAUUGCAAUAGUAUUGCCAGAUUCUGCAAAAUUUUGAAAUACUGUUGCAAUGUAUGUAUAACUUUCACAACUGUGUGCUACAUUAUUGCAAUAAUGCUGUAGUUUUAGGUGUGACUUUUACAAUAUUUUGGCAGUAGUCAGUAACUUUAGGACAAUGCUGUAAUGUUCAGCAGUUUGGCUAUCACCCCUUCAGUUGUGUAAUGUAAAUUUUCUUUGGGUUAACAUGAUAAAUCCUGAAUGGAGGGAAUCAACAGAUUUUUAAAUUAACUGAGGUUCCUCUCAUGAAAAAUGCAUGCACCUAUUCUGAAUGGAAGCAAAGUUUCCCAAUGAGCAAGGUAUAUUUUGGAUGAAAACAGAAGGGGAAAAGUCUUUCUUUAUCCCAUGUUUUAUUGGCCAUCAGUGCAUGUGUCCUUGUAGCAUGGUAUUGAUGUUGACUUUCGUUGUCGCUGCCAUGCGUUGAUGAUCAGCCAUUACACCCCCACUGAUCAUUGUAAAGAUUUCAGGUUGAGUAGUCUGAAGAAACAUUUGAUGUUCUGCACAGCACUUAGAUCCCAGGCAACAGCGGUCAUUGUGCAUGGAAAUAGCAGCCCUUACUAGAUAUCAGCUUGAAGCAGAAGGAAGUCAUGAACAGAUGAUUACUGAAAUUCUUUAAUCUAACACUUAACAGGGCUCCAUUUAAGUAUUUAGAACUUUCACCGGUGCAGCCUGAGACUGCAAAUUGCAACCUCAUCUAUUUAUACCAAAUUGCACCCAGUGCAUAUUAAUGUUGUUCUGUUUUCAGCUGGAAAAAAGUGAUAACAAACCGGUGUGCAAUUUUAAGUAAGAUCAAAUGAUUUUAUUAGACCCAGAAUAACAAUGUUCUAAAUCAUCUAUGCCAAAACACAAGCAUUGUGUCUGAUUUUAGAUUGAGCUGCAAGUGCAACCUGUUUUGUCUGGUGCAACAAAGUUAUUAACUAAUGUUGCUCCAGGUGCAAAAAGGUCAUUGAUACAGGUUGCUCCUGGUGCAAGUGGGUUUUAUUUCUUUGAAUUGAGCUGUGCUAAGUAAGAAGAAGCAUUAAAUUCCAUAACAAUGCUCGGACUCCCUGGUAACAAUUCCCAAAAUUAGCCACAGUAAAAGCAGAGCCUUUGUUCUGUCAUUGUCCACAGAUACAAAUAUUCUAUAUUCAGUGUACAGUUCAAUUGUUUAAAGUAUGUAUUAUGCACUUCUAGUUCAACCGAUGAUCUUAAGAUGGGUAGGUCAUGAUGACUUAAUGCAUACAUAAAGCAUGAAGGUUUGGAUUAGUAGAACAGGAGCAGACAUUUACUUUUGCCAACUUCUUCAUUUUUCUUUUCAUAAAAGAAGAUAUAAACUGAUUAUUCUUUGGGUAUUGGAUUGUUUAGUUUUAGCAGUAAUAAACAAGGUAUUCACUUGUUGCUGAGAAAUUUUUCUAGAUUACAUUCAACCUUGAAAUUGAGUUCCAUAUGAUACAGCAGACUUUUGUUUAAGUUGUCUACUAACAUCAAAUGAAAAUUCAUAAUGCAGUGUGUCAUAAACCAGUCUAGAAGAAUAUUUGAAUUCUAGUAUGAAAUGUUGUUAACAGUAGUGCUGCUUGAGUGUUUUCUGCCUUAUUUAGAGAUUUUACCAAGUGUUUCCAUGCUGUUUAUGUGGUAAAGUACCUAGUAAAUUCUCAUCUGUACAUAGAAAUGACAUAAGAAGGGAAGUAACUCUAGUCUCAACUGCAGUCAGUGGGCUGCAGAUAUUGUGCACAUUGCGAGACAUUGUUUGUGCAUGUUUCUUUUAUUGUGAAACACAGUAAUCAGCUGGUCUGAAAAAGAAUAAGAAAUAUGCAAGCAUUUGAACUAAUACAAUUUCUUUGUGAGUCUUACAUAAAGGACUUUCACAAACAUUUAUUAACAUUUAUGAUUUGCGGAUUUGACAUGUAGUGGAUGUAAAUAUGAACAUCUUUCCAAUAUGCCCGUUUUCUGUGAUGAUCAAAGAGUAGAGAGUUUGGUAACAGCAACUUUGUGAAACUGUAUUUUGUAGGGUGUAAAUACGUCUUAUAGAUUCUAUGGCGCUUGACUGUAAGAAUUCAUCUGAGUAUUUCCUAUAAUUUACUAUUACACAUAAUGAUCACCUUUACAAGUAAGGAGGUAAAUCCUUCUGUUUGAUGUCAAAAUGGAUUCACUUUUGGCAAGGCCAGACCAUUUUAAAUAAUCACAAUAAUACAAUGGGGUACACUUAUGAUAUGCCAAACUAUCCUUGAAGCAACUCAAAGUGCUACAUUUACGCUACAUUAGACAGUGGAUCUGUGUUCUCUCCAUUCAUCCUGUGCUCCCUAGGGAGUAUACAACCCCCAAGAGACAAUGCCAUAUGAAAUAAUGCCAAAUUACCCAGGCCAAAAAGAGCAUGUUGUCAUACAGGUGUUUCAUUGCUUUGUUUGGGGUUGACAAAUAAAUGAUACCAUAGUGAUCAUGAACAAGUCUGUCAUUAAUAUUAAACAAGCAUUGCUUGCAGAAAUUUUCACAAAUGCGUGUUUAUGAAAAAUAGUCUGUAAAUAACAAAUAGUUAAAGAGGUUCAAUUCCCAGGCCAUCUUAUUAUAGCAUUUGCAGGUGCAGUGGUAAAAUAAACUUUAGAUAUAAUAGUUAAGUCAUUAAGAAUCAAAAUCUGUUUGUACAAAUAUGCAACAACUAAAUGACCUGACAAAUUUCUCAAUGUCUAGAUUUCACAACACUUUGGUGUUUAAAUUUGAUUCAAGCAAUUUAAAUUAGUGAAGUAAGACAAGCUCAAAGUAAGGCGAUAAUGGCAGCAGUAUAUACACGUAGUAUAUACAAGCAUUGUACAAACCCCAUAGGCUCUGAAAGUAGUCCUCAUGACCGGCAUGUAUGUUAUUGAACAAGAAAUGCUUUCAUGUCAAAGAAAAACAUGAGUGCCAGGUCUCUGUUUGAAAUGAAGAUGCUUUCAAUCAGAGACUUCUUUGUUUAGUUUGUAGUUUCUACUUUGGCAACAGCUGGGGCAAGGAACUAAAAUGGUCUGGCCUAUGAUGUCCAAAAAUAUCUGUAACUUUCAACUUUCUUCAGAAUGUAAUGUUCAUAUCAAUGAAGAAUUUUAAACAGCACCUUAUUUAAUCAAAAUUUGUAAAACAAGAUGUUUUAUUAACAUUUCAGUAUUACUGUUCAUAAAUGUGUAGAAGUAAUAGUCAGACCAUUACUUAUAUAAUUUAGUGUAUAUAUUUGUCUUAACCGUGAACCCAGUACUGAUGUGGAAUGGCGUAACAUAUCCUAUGGAACAUUUUUUCCUAAGAAACAACUACUCCUCUACAUCCGUGUUCAGUAAUGUGAGAUAUUUCUGAUGAGUGUUAUAUUUUUAAUAGCAUUUACCGAUGAAGAAGACGGAAAUUCUGGGAUGAAGACAAACUGGUUGCUGGGCACUAACGUUUGUGUGUUGUGGCACUCCCAAAACUUGAGAGGCUUUUACCAUGAUGUAUAUUGUCACAAGAUUGAAAUAUUGCUUAUCAUGGUGAACACUUUACUUAAAUAUUUAGUUCUUUUUGUAAAUUAAUUAUUUACAAAUGUUUUCAGUAAUAUUCUUCCCUAUUGUGUGUGUCAUAUGUAUAUUACAUUGUUACUGUUUAGAAUCUUCUCUUGUGUGAUAAACACUGUUAGUGCUAUUUGGCAUUGUGCAUAUUUCAUGUCAGGGUUUCAGUUCUAAUGGAUUCUGCAGGUGUUUUUUUCUUUGUAUGAGUUGCUAUCUGUGUUAAUAUCCAGCUUUGUUGGUAUGAUUACUUCACUCUUUGAAUUCUGUUGGUUCACAGAAUUGUUAGUUGACAUGGUUUAAAGUCAUGAAAACAAUUUGAAAAAUUGAUGCAUUGAGCCGAAACAAGGGCUUAGAACGAUGACUGCAUAACAUAGAGUGCUAAUUGUUUGAUCAGCAUUCUAGAAGUUGGUGAGUCAAAAUUGAAGGAUACAACUUUCAGGAUGACAACUUCUUGUUGAUUGCAUUGAGCACGUUUUGAUGUAGAUUCUCACAUGUUAUCAAAAGACUUUUAGCUUGAUAGCGGUGUAAGAAUCUACAUUGAAACGUUGCUCGAUGCAAUAAACAAGAAGUUGUCAUCCCUAAAGGUGUAUGCUUCAUACAGAGUGCUAUUUGAUUAUGUCGGUGAAAUUGUUUGAAUAUGUACCUAGUUACUCACACAUAAGUCGUUUUGAUUAUUUGACUUCACUGAUGCUUUCAUUACUUUGUUCACCCAAAGUGUUUGAGGUUUGUGUAAACAAUGUAGCAAUGUGAUGUUAUUCUUCAACUCAUCAAUACCUUGGAGAUGUUAAACUGUCAAAACAACAUGACUGAUAUGUUUCUUUGGAAAUUAUGAUCUGCUUUGUAUUGGACUUGAAUUUGUUUUACGUGUUGUUUUGUAAUGAUAAGGUAAUUAGUCAGUGGUGACCUUGUUUACAUCUAAGACAAGUAUCCUUUGAUGGCAUAUUAUGUUUCGAGCUACAAGCAUUUAAACUAUCUUAAGGUCAGCCACUGAUUACUUCUGAAAAUGAAAUUCAUCCGAGCUGUGAAGACUGAACAUUUAUGCCCCGAUAUAAUUGGACCCAGUAUUUGUACAAGUAAUCUUAUUUGUUUUGAAUGGUAUAUCAGUUGAGAUAACUUAUGCUUCAUUAUGUUUCUCUGGAAGGAAAUCUAUCUUGAAAAGGAUUUCAGAGGCGACAUUUUCUGGAAGUGCAAUGGCCUGGUUUCUUUGUCAAUUUUGGAACAUGUUGUUAUCUUUUGUUGAAUAGCAGAGUGAUUUAUUUUACUAUUGUUGGUGGUGCAAAACGCAUUUGUCAGAUACUGAUAUUUAAAAGGCUUAACCAUCAACUAACUGUAAGUUUGUGUAAGUGAAGAUAACAAAGCAGAUGAGACAAUAUUUUAUCUUUAUUACUAUGUUUUAAUAGCUUUGUUGUAGAUUUCUUAUCUGUACUGUAAUGGAUUGUUUCUUUGACAUUACACUUCAUGAAAACAUCAUUUUUGUCAUGUUUAAUUAGGCUUGAGUAUAUUAUUUAUUUGAUUACCAUCCAUGUUUCCUGAAACAGGAUUGAGACAAAGUAUUUCUGUCAUGGACAGACCAAUAACACAGGAAUGGUAGUUUGGCAAAAUUUACUUGGAAAUUAUUUGGAGCUGUGAAGACAGCAUAAGAAAUCGAAAAAUCUGGAAGGAUUAUAAUCUAAUUGAUAAUUUAUGCUGGCCUGAUAUUAAAAAGAAUUAUGAAAUGUUUUUACUGUUUGCCAAGGCUUAUAGUAGGUAGCUUCAUGCACAGCACACCUGGUAUGUUUAAGUCUGUUUCCGUAGCUUUGGCUAUAACAAUGGUGUUAUCCUGCAAUUUUCAUCAACAGUUAUAUUUUGGGGGAAAUACUUGAAAACAAUUAGUUCAUCCUUAAUCACAGUAAUAAGGUCAAUGUUUAUUUUGAUAGUAACUGUUGGGAUAAUAUUUUGUAUCCCUCAUGCUACAAAUGGUUAUUUAGUUUUUGUCUGCCUGUCACAAGGCAGAUCUACAUCCACAAGGCAUGAGCAAGAGCUUGAGAGAUGCUGUACAUAGCCUGACUGGUCCUGUAUAUAGGGUAUGCAAGGACAGAACGUGAGAGCGAGCGUGAGUGUGAUGUGGAGAGUGAGUUGCUGGCAUGUAGAGGGCGCUGUAGCCACUUGCUAGACGUAAUAUGUGAGUCUCUAGACAUUUGUGAUAUGUUCAUCUAGGGAGAAGGAGAAGGAUUUGCCAGACAACUGGCGGAGAACUCAUCUUUGUAACACUUUGAAAAUAAUGAUUGACAUAAAAAAAUCAUUAUCACUG